This 433-nucleotide ribosomal RNA is filed under the name uncultured bacterium. RNAcentral's name for it is "partial 16S ribosomal RNA". It matches the Rfam family "Bacterial small subunit ribosomal RNA", at positions 29 to 507 of the family's 1533-position model. The record is from RNAcentral.
AACGAACGCUGGCGGCAUGCCUAACACAUGCAAGUCGAACGAGACCUUCGGGUCUAGUGGCGCACGGGUGCGUAACGCGUGGGAAUCUGCCCUUCGGUUGGGAAUAACUGAGAGAAAUUUCAGCUAAUACCUUAUAAUGUCUUCGGACCAAAGAUUUAUCGCCGAGGGAUGAGCCCGCGUAGGAUUAGGUAGUUGGUGGGGUAAUGGCCUACCAAGCCGACGAUCCUUAGCUGGUCUGAGAGGAUGAUCAGCCACACUGGGACUGAGACACGGCCCAGACUCCUACGGGAGGCAGCAGUGGGGAAUAUUGGACAAUGGGCGAAAGCCUGAUCCAGCAAUGCCGCGUGAGUGAUGAAGGCCUUAGGGUUGUAAAGCUCUUUUACCCGGGAUGAUAAUGACAGUACCGGAAGAAUAAGCUCCGGCUAACUCCGUG